RNAcentral lists this ribosomal RNA (253 nucleotides) under uncultured bacterium. RNAcentral's name for it is "partial 16S ribosomal RNA". It matches the Rfam family "Bacterial small subunit ribosomal RNA", at positions 524 to 776 of the family's 1533-position model. The record is from RNAcentral.
UACGUAGGGGGCAAGCGUUGUCCGGAUUUAUUGGGCGUAAAGCGCACGUAGGCGGCUUUGCAAGUCCCAUGUGAAAUCCCACGGCUCAACCGUGGAAGUGCAUGGGAAACUGCAGAGCUUGAGUACUUAAGAGGAUCGCGGAAUUCCCGGUGUAGAGGUGAAAUUCGUAGAUAUCGGGAGGAACACCAGUGGCGAAGGCGGCGAUCUGGGAAGAUACUGACGCUGAGGUGCGAAAGCGUGGGGAGCAAACAGG